AUGGGAGGCGAGGGAGAAGCGAGCCCGCGGCCGCCGAUUGGCUGGUGCGCGCGCACCGUUGGUACCAGCGGGUUGCGGGAAGGGGGCAGGGAGCCGUGAGGCGGCGGGGCCGUGAGGCUGGGCCCCGCGUCCCGCCCGCCCGGCGCUCCCGCUCUGUCCGGCCGGCGGGCGUGGAUGCCUCCUCCGUGUCCAGUCAGCCCGGCAUUGUGCAGAACACGGCGGGACCGGGCUCCUGCCCUGCCCGUGCCCACUUUCGAGAGCUGGUGCCCGCCCUUCCCCUCCCUUCUUCAUGCGGCGCUGCCCCUGGUGUGGUGCUUCCAGCUGUUUUAAUGGAGAGCAGUUGGGAACGGGAGUCAGGGCUGGCAGCUUCUCUCGUAUGAGAGGCUGCAGGGGCUGGGCCUGCUUAGCCUAGAGAAGAGGUCUGGGAGCGGAACUCGUUAAUGUAUGUGAACAUCUCAAGGGUGGCUGCCAAGAGAGUGGUGCCCAGCAACAGGACAAGGAGUAAAGGCCAUAAACUAAAACACAAGCAUCACCACAACAUGAAGAAAGGAAGAACCUCUUUACAUUCAGGAUGGCCAAGCACUGGAGCAGGUGCCCAAGGAUGUCAUGGAGGCUCCCUCCUCACAGAGUCAUUUAAAGCCCACCUGGAUGCAGUCCUGUGUAACCUGCUCGAGGUGACCCUGGCUUGGAAGAUGGUCCCUCCCAACACUAACAAUUAAGUGAUUCUGUCUUUCUGCCACCCAACAGUUCUCCAGAGAGCAGAAUAGGAAGCACUGCCUGAAGGUAUAAACACAGUGAGAAACCUUGAAUUACAGUCACAGAAAAUCUGUCCAAAACCACGUUUGUGCAUGGAUCAAGAAUGGAAAACAAGAAGGAUCCCUGGAAGCAGCUCAACAUGGUUCUGAUUAGAGUAUACCUGAGCCAGCCAGUGCAUGCAAAUACCCAGCUGAACAUAAAUUUCAGAAUUUGUGUAGACAUAUUGGGCUGUUGUAGGACAAACUG
Long non-coding RNA from Passer domesticus (house sparrow), 1002 nucleotides. RefSeq lists it as uncharacterized. NCBI's taxonomy places the organism in Eukaryota, Metazoa, Chordata, Aves, Passeriformes, Passeridae. The record is from RefSeq and is a predicted model, not a curated record. The transcript is spliced from 3 exons.